UUGAUCCUGGCUCACGAUGAACGCUAGCGGGAUGCUUAACACAUGCAAGUCGAACGACCCUUCGGGGGAGUGGCAAACGGGCGAGUAACGCGUACUUAACCUACCCAGAAGUUGGGAACAACUACGGAGACGUAGCUAAUUCCCAAUGUUCCCUGCACUAUGAAAAAAUGCAGGGCAAAGAUUUAUCGCUUUUGGAGGGGGGUGCGUCCUAUCAGGUAGUUGGUGUGGUAAUAGCUCACCAAGCCUAUGACGGGUAGCCGGUCUGAAAGGAUGUCCGGCCGCAAUGGAACUGAGACACGGUCCAUACUCCUACGGGAGGCAGCAGUGGGGAAUCUUGCGCAAUGGGCGAAAGCCUGACGCAGCAAUCCCGCGUGAAGGAUGAAGCAUUAUGGUGUGUAAACUUCUUUUCUGGUGGAAGACGAAUGACGGUACACCAGGAAUAAGGGACGGCUAACUACGUGCCAGCAGCCGCGGUAAUACGUAGGUCCCAAGUGUUAUCCGGAAUUACUGGGCGUAAAGAGUCUGUAGCCGGGUUUGUAAGUCUGUUUUCAAAUCCUAUGGCUUAACCAUAGAGAGGGAAUGGAUACUGCAAACCUUGAGAUUAUUGGGGGUUGAUGGAAUUUCCGGUGGAGCGGUGAAAUGCGUUGAUAUCGGAAGGAACGCCAAAAGUGAAAGCAGUCAACUACAAUAAAUCUGACGGUCAGAGACGAAAGCUUGGGGAGCAAACGGGAUUAGAUACCCCGGUAGUCCAAGCCGUAAAUUAUGCAUGCUAGGUGUCUUGUUCACUUUAUGUGAGCGGGGUGCCGUAAUCUAACGAGUUAAGCAUGCCGCCUGGGUAGUAUAUUCGCAAGACUGAAACUCAAAGGGAUAGGCGGGGG
Molecule: ribosomal RNA, 878 nt
Filed under: uncultured organism
Description: bacterial SSU rRNA
Rfam family: Bacterial small subunit ribosomal RNA
Source: RNAcentral